UAUUCAAAUCUUCAAAAUCAAUUCCGGUGUUCUUUAAAAACUGAUUGAGAUCAGAAACUUUCCUCUUCAUGAAAAACGUGAAAAUAAAUUCCCAUUUUCCAGCAUUAAUUCCAUACUCAUCAGUGUACGACCCAAUUAGUGUAUAUUGAAAACUCAUUCCAGCGUUGAGGAUUGUUACAUAGUAAUCCAGGGAACUCGUUGCCCAUGGAAACCAUCCGGUGUUGAUAAAAAGCUGCAUCGAUAAUGUGAAGCUCUGCCAUGAAAUUGGAAGCCCCCUAAUCUGUCACAUUGCUCAGUUAUUAGCUUGUUGCUUUGUUGCUUUCUUGAAGAGCUUGGCUUGUUCUUUGAAAGAAGACGUUCCAUUCUUGUUGUUAUUAUUAUUACAACGUAAGAUAUCUCAUUUUGUAUGAACCGCCAAAAAGGAUCGAAAGACAGACCACAAGAUGGCGAAUUUGAUGGUCUCCACAAACCAAGCGACGGGAACACAAUUUCCCUAUGAAGAAAGGAAACAAGAAAAUUCCACAAUAUUUUCUUCUUUUCUUUUCCCUUCCCUUUCAAUUCUUCCAUUUUCGCCAAGAAUAAUCAUAACGUUCUUUUGUCAUCUAGAUUGGAAGAUUAUUCUGACGGUGAUUUAUGUGAAUCUGGUGCUGCAUUGGAGUCAGAAUCGUCCCUCUGGGAAUUAGAAUGGCAUUACCAGUGAACAUUGAAAUUGGUUCCCAUAUUUGGGUUGGAGAUCCCGAGCUAGCAUGGUUAGAUGGAGUUGUUUUUAACAUUAAAGGAGAAGAUGCUGAGAUUCAGACCAGUGAUGGAAAAACUAUUGUUGCAAAUUUGUCAAGAGUGUAUCCAAAAGACGCGGAAGCUCCUGAAGGUGGGGUUGAUGACAUGACUAAGCUGCUAUAUUUGCAUGAGCCUGCAGUUUUGCACAAUUUGUCAACGAGACAUGAAAUUAAUGAAAUCUAUACUUAUACUGGAAACAUUCUUAUUGCUGUCAACCCAUUCCAAGGGCUUCCACAUUUAUACGAUGCUCACAUGAUGGAACGAUACAAGGGAGCACAAUUAGGAGAACUAAGCCCUCACGUUUUUGCAAUUGCUGAUGUUGCAUAUAGGGCAAUGGUUAACGAGGGUAAAAGCAACUCAAUUUUGGUCAGUGGGGAAAGUGGGGCUGGCAAAACUGAAACCACUAAAAUGCUUAUGCGCUACCUUGCACAUUUGGGUGGCCAUAAUGCUUCUGAAGGACGAACAGUUGAACAACAAGUCCUAGAAUCAAAUCCAGUUCUUGAAGCAUUUGGCAAUGCCAAAACUGUUAGGAACAACAACUCAAGUCGCUUUGGUAAAUUUGUUGAGAUCCAAUUUGACAAGAAUGGGAGGAUUUCCGGGGCAGCUAUACGAACUUAUUUGCUUGAGAGGUCUCGGGUUUGCCAAAUUUCUGAUCCUGAAAGAAACUAUCAUUGUUUCUACCUUCUUUGUGCAGCUCCACCUGAGGAAAGAGAGAAGUACAAGUUGGAAUACCCUAAGUCUUUCCAUUACUUGAACCAAUCCAACUGCUAUCAGCUGGAUGGAGUAAAUGAUGCUGAGGAAUAUCUUGCAACUAGAAGGGCAAUGGAUGUAGUUGGCAUCGGUGAAGAAUCACAGGAAGCUAUUUUUAGGGUUGUAGCUGCAAUUCUGCAUCUUGGAAACAUUGAAUUUGCAAAGGGAGUGGAGAUAGACUCUUCUGUUAUCAAGGAUGACAAAUCUAGAUUUCAUCUUAAUAUGACAGCAGAGCUGCUCAAGUGUGAUGCCAAGAGCUUGGAAGAUGCACUGAUAAAACGUGUUAUGGUAACUCCAGAAGAGAUUAUCACAAGGACUCUUGAUCCUGUUGCUGCAGUGGUUAGCAGGGAUGCCUUGGCUAAAACUAUUUAUUCCCGUUUGUUUGAUUGGCUUGUGGAUAAAAUUAAUAGUUCAAUUGGGCAGGAUCCCAACUCAAAACAAUUAAUUGGAGUUCUGGAUAUAUAUGGUUUUGAAAGUUUUAAGUUCAAUAGGUAAGCCUCCUUUUUUUCUCCCCCUGGCAAAACAGGUAAGUCUUUAACUUUAGAUGUUAUUUGCUAUACAACAUUUUUCCUUAAUGUUCACUAUUUUGCCUUUCUAUACAGUUUUGAGCAGUUUUGCAUAAAUUUUACAAAUGAAAAACUGCAGCAGCAUUUCAAUCAGCAUGUCUUUAAAAUGGAGCAGGAAGAAUAUACAAAAGAAGAAAUAAAUUGGAGCUACAUAGAAUUUGUUGAUAACCAAGAUGUGCUAGAUCUGAUUGAGAAGAAACCUGGGGGAAUUAUAGCACUUCUAGAUGAAGCCUGCAUGUUUCCUAAAUCGACGCAUGAAACUUUUGCUCAGAAGUUGUACCAGACAUUUAAAAACAACAAGCGCUUUAUCAAACCUAAACUUUCCCGUACUAGUUUUACCAUAUCUCACUAUGCAGGGGAGGUAACUUAUCAGGCAGAUCAGUUCCUUGACAAGAACAAAGAUUAUGUAGUGGCAGAACAUCAGGAUCUUCUGACAGCCUCAAAGUGCUCCUUUGUGGCUGGUCUCUUUCCUCCACCUCCAGAGGAAUCAUCAAAAUCCUCUAAAUUUUCUUCCAUUGGGUCACGCUUUAAGCUACAACUCCAAUCUUUGAUGGAGACCUUGAAUUCAACUGAGCCCCAUUACAUCAGAUGUGUGAAGCCAAAUAAUGUACUCAAGCCUGCAAUUUUUGAGAAUGGUAACAUCAUCCAGCAACUACGUUGUGGUGGUGUUCUUGAGGCAAUAAGAAUCAGUUGUGCUGGAUAUCCUACAAGACGAACAUUCUACGAGUUUCUCCUCCGUUUUGGUGUUCUUGCUCCGGAAGUUUUGGAAGGAAAUCAUGAUGACAAGGUUGCUUGCCAAAUGAUUCUGGAUAAAAUGGGAUUGAAAGGUUAUCAGAUAGGCAAGACAAAGGUUUUCCUUAGAGCUGGUCAGAUGGCUGAACUGGAUGCAAGAAGAGCAGAGGUGCUUGGAAAUGCAGCUAGAACCAUUCAAAGACAAAUUCGCACGUAUAUUGCACGCAAGGAGUUUAUUGCAUUACGGCAAGCUGCUAUUCACUUGCAAUCUCAUUGCCGGGGUGUAUUGGCUCGCAAAAUAUUUGAGCAGUUGCGGCGGGAAGCAGCAGCUUUGAAGAUUCAGAGGAAUUUCAGACGAUAUACUGCCAGGAAAUCCUACCUGACUCUAUAUUUGUCUGCAGUCACAUUGCAGACUGGCUUAAGGGCAAUGACUGCUCGUGAUGAAUUCAGGUUCAGAAAACAAACUAAAGCUGCAAUUGUUAUCCAGGCACAAUUGCGUCGCCAUAUAGCAUAUUCUUAUUAUAAGAGGCUUCAGAAGGCUGCAUUAGCUUCUCAAUGUGGCUGGAGGGGAAGAGUUGCUCGGAGAGAGCUUAGAAAGCUUAAAAUGGCUGCAAGGGAAACGGGUGCUCUUAAAGAAGCAAAAGACAAAUUAGAGAAGCGUGUGGAAGAGCUGACAUGGCGGUUGCAAUUUGAGAAGAGAUUGAGGACUGAUUUGGAAGAGGAAAAGGCACAAGAAAUUGCCAAGUUACAGGAUGCUUUGCAUGCAAUGCAAAUACAAGUAGAAGAAGCAAAUUCCAGAGUUAUCAAAGAACGAGAGGCAGCUCGAAAAGCUAUUGAAGAGGCACCUCCGGUCAUUAAGGAGACCCCUGUUCUUGUUCAAGAUACAGAAAAGGUUGAACAAUUAACGACCGAGGUGGAGAGUUUGAAGGCUUCACUGCUAUCAGAAAGACAGGCAGCAGAAGAAGCAAGGAAAGCAGGUAAAGAUGCUGAGGCCAGAAACUCGGAACUAAGCAAGAAACUGGAAGAUUCACAGCAAAAGGUGGAUCAACUUCAGGAAUCAGUGCAGAGGUUAGAGGAGAAACUUUCCAACUCAGAGUCCGAGAAUCAAGUUCUUCGUCAGCAAGCACUAACCAUCUCACCAACAGGGAAACCCUUGUCUGGACGGCCAAAAUCAAUAAUUUUACAGAGGACCCCGGAGAAUGGAAAUGUUGCAAAUGGAGAACCGAGGGUAGCAUUAGAUAUGAUGGUUGCUGUAUCAAAUGCACGUGAACCUGAAUCUGAGGAAAAACCACAGAAAUCUCUAAAUGAAAAGCAGCAGGAGAACCAGGAUCUACUGAUCAAGUGUAUAUCACAAAACUUGGGAUUCUCUGGGGGCAAACCAGUUACUGCUUGCAUUAUAUAUAAAUGUCUUCUCCACUGGAGGUCA
This 4251-nucleotide unclassified non-coding RNA is filed under the name Hevea brasiliensis (rubber tree). Lineage: Eukaryota; Viridiplantae; Streptophyta; Magnoliopsida; Malpighiales; Euphorbiaceae. The record is from RNAcentral.